Molecule: ribosomal RNA, 301 nt
Filed under: uncultured bacterium
Lineage: Bacteria
Description: partial 16S ribosomal RNA
Rfam family: Bacterial small subunit ribosomal RNA
Source: RNAcentral
CAGCCGCCACGGGAACACGGAGGGAGCUAGCGUUGUUCGGAAUUACUGGGCGUAAAGCGCGCGUAGGCGGUUACUCAAGUCAGAGGUGAAAGCCCGGGGCUCAACCCCGGAACUGCCUUUGAAACUAGGUGACUAGAAUCUUGGAGAGGUCAGUGGAAUUCCGAGUGUAGAGGUGAAAUUCGUAGAUAUUCGGAAGAACACCAGUGGCGAAGGCGACUGACUGGACAAGUAUUGACGCUGAGGUGCGAAAGCGUGGGGAGCAAACAGGAUUAGAUACCCCCGUAGUCCCUGUCUCUUAUAA